Molecule: transfer RNA, 77 nt
Filed under: Proteobacteria bacterium CAG:495
Lineage: Bacteria; Pseudomonadati; Pseudomonadota
Also listed under: 3 other names
Description: transfer RNA-Arg(CCG)
Rfam family: tRNA
About the family: Transfer RNA (tRNA) molecules are approximately 80 nucleotides in length. Their secondary structure includes four short double-helical elements and three loops (D, anti-codon, and T loops).
Source: RNAcentral
GUACCCGUAGCUCAGUUGGAUAGAGUAUCAGCCUCCGACGCUGAGGGUCGUGGGUUCGAAUCCCUCCGGGUACGCCA